AGUUGGUAAGCUAGCUGGGGAUAAGGAUGCCACGUGCACCUUACCCCCAAGCAUGCUUAUCACCUUAAUACUUGUGCAUAGUUUAUAUAUAGUUCUUGAGCCUCUACGCAUAUAGUUCUUGAGCCGUACGUAGAGGAGGAGCUCGGGUGGUGUGGAGUUUCGUCGACGUCGCGCAGCGGUGCCGUUCGAGCGUGUGUUCGUCGUCGUAGCAUCGCGAGGGGGGCCGGGCGAGGGUCCGAUUCCGCCGUUUUUGUUGUCGCGCCGGAUUGUGAUUAGCGUUUGAGGUGGGUUACAUCGGCUUUACUCCUAAGUUCUAAUUGGCCGACAUGUAUAGAUCUUGAUUUCGGUAAUUAAUUUAGCUCAAAUUCAUGGACUAUAUGUAGAUUGCGAAAUCUGAAUUUUGGAGCAUAUUUUAUAAAUUAAGUAGAUCAUACAUGUUGGACUUGAAAAUUGAAUUAGGAGAAAACCUGCGAUUUGGACCUGUCACCAGUUUUAACUACCUGAUUUAGCUCUAGGAGCCGUUAGAAAAUUGUACUGUCGCAGUUUCUUCGAGACGAGUACUCCAGGUAGUUUAGAAUGUAUUUACACUCGUGCUGGUUCGCCGAGUGGAUUUUUACAGGGUCGUUCAGGUUGUUUCGGACUGUUGGGUGCCGUCAGAGUUGACGGUGGACCCGUAUCGCCUUUUUGGGCGUCAGAUUGUGCCGAGGGCACUUACCUGUUGGUUGUUAGACCAUUUUGAGUCGAUUACUUGACUUUGGCUAGUUGGAGCCUGUUUGAGCUCGACAGAGAUACGCUGCAUACUCGGUUGGGUAGCGCCCACGAGUGCCACUCCGGAGUCAGGCUUGUGCUUUUGCGUUGGUGUCGCUCAUGCCAGUUGGACUUGCUCUCCACGGACCAGUUAGUGUGGAUAGAGCCCGAUAGUCGCAACGGGGCAGGGACGGGUGUAUUCACAGUCCCGGGGACGGGUAUGCUUACAGUCCCGAUUGGAUUGGGUCAGAUUUGACAUUUCCUACAGUUGGUUAGUGUAGAGCAUGAUAGUGUAGUGGAUGAUAGCGGUAGAGUAUGCUUCCUGCUUUCCUUCUAUCCUUGCUCCCUUCUGUAGACUUAGUGGGUGACCGAUGUUGUUUUGGGCGGUACCCACUGAGGACUACUUGUUUUUACAGUAGUUCUCACGCCCAGUUGUUACCCUUUGUUUUGCAGAGCCACAGGUUUCGGCUGCUGCGCCUUCCGCGGAUCAGGAUCGAGGCAAGGGCGUUGCGAGUUAGAGCCCUACCCGACUGACAGAGCUAGAGGCACCCUUACUGCAGGUAGAUGUUUUGUUUCGAGUUUGUGUACAUAGCUUGCUUAACUCGCCAGUGCGAGUAACCAUGUAUUUUGGAUUUGGACUAUGUAUAUGAAACUCAGUUGUUUAGCUUUGGUUUAUUGAGCAGCUCUAUACUACUGUUUGUAGUAUUGUAUAUCUACAGGUACUUUUGACGCUUCGUAUACAGGAAAAAUUCUUUUGUAUACGGCGGAUUUGUCAGCGUGCCCGGAAAACGAGACAUCCGGGGCUUGACAUCCAAUAUCAUAGACAAAUAAUUUACAC
Molecule: long non-coding RNA, 1585 nt
Filed under: Ananas comosus (pineapple)
Lineage: Eukaryota; Viridiplantae; Streptophyta; Magnoliopsida; Poales; Bromeliaceae
Description: long non-coding RNA (ACOM_LNC020639)
Source: RNAcentral